Molecule: ribosomal RNA, 401 nt
Filed under: uncultured Adlercreutzia sp.
Lineage: Bacteria; Bacillati; Actinomycetota; Coriobacteriia; Eggerthellales; Eggerthellaceae
Description: bacterial SSU rRNA
Rfam family: Bacterial small subunit ribosomal RNA
Source: RNAcentral
UGGGGAAUAUUGCGCAAUGGGGGAAACCCUGACGCAGCAACGCCGCGUGCGGGAUGAAGGCCUUCGGGUUGUAAACCGCUUUCAGCAGGGAAGACGCAGACGGUACCUGCAGAAGAAGCCCCGGCUAACUACGUGCCAGCAGCCGCGGUAAUACGUAGGGGGCGAGCGUUAUCCGGAUUCAUUGGGCGUAAAGCGCGCGCAGGCGGACCGUUAAGCGGGACCUCUAAUCCUGGGGCUCAACCUCAGGCCGGGUCCCGAACUGGCGGUCUCGAGUGCGGUAGGGGAGGUCGGAAUUCCCGGUGUAGCGGUGGAAUGCGCAGAUAUCGGGAAGAACACCGAUGGCGAAGGCAGACCUCUGGGCCGACACUGACGCUGAGGCGCGAAAGCUAGGGGAGCGAACA